ACCUCCAGCCAGCAAAUGCCUCCUACAAACUAGCAGUCAACUUUCUCCAAGAGUAGCAGGGUGGACAUAUGUCCCAGGGCCAAUAAUGGAAUGACAUCCUCAAUUAGAUUGGUCCCCUACCCCACCCCAAGAAGUCUUAUGCAUUUAUUUGGGAACACAGGCUUUGGAAUAAGAUGAAGUCACCCAAACUCCAUUGUGAAAUCUAGUCUCCUUGCAAUCCGUCUGACCUCAGAGAGGCAAACAAAAUGUCUGUUUGGGAGAUGGUACAGAUGAGGAAAUGGAAGCCUACGGAUCUAGGUUCUCUGGACCAGACCACCGCAGCAGAGACCUGUGUUUUCUCCUGGGGAUUCAGAAACCCCACUCCCCUUGCCUUCAGAGGCGCUGCCUCCUUCCAUUGUGGGGCAGAGGUGAAGAAGCAAAGAAAGUGUCCCUUUCAUCCUCGCUAUAGAAUGAAAAUUCAUCACCACAAUUACUCACCAAACCUGAGAGGAGGACAGAAGAAAACAUGUUUACAUUACUUUUUCUUUCAUUAAAAAGCAACACGUGUUUUUGCCAAUCAGAUAGAAAACACAGAUGCAGAAAAAG
This 585-nucleotide long non-coding RNA is filed under the name Pongo abelii (Sumatran orangutan). RNAcentral's name for it is "lincRNA". The record is from RNAcentral. Lineage: Eukaryota; Metazoa; Chordata; Mammalia; Primates; Hominidae.